GAUUAUAUGAGAAAAUUUGAAUGUAUUGCCAGUAUUUUUUUUUCUUUUUCUCUUUUUCUUGGCAGCAUUUAAGUAGAAAAUUUCAGGGAAUGUCAGUCCAUGUUUUCCAUGAGUGUGGAUGGCACACAAUAGUAAGCAUUCUUUUUUAGUAUGUUAACUUGUACGGUAGUCCACACCCAUGGGGCUUUGGAAUUAAAGAUGCCUUUUGAAGCACAGUUACUCUGACAGAAAUUACAUGGAAUGUCGCAGAAAUAACAUAAUUUCUCUCUUAAGUUAAAGCUAGUAUUCUUUUCUUUUUUGCACUCUGGUCCUGAGACUUGAACUUAGGACCUCACAUACUUGAGAUAUGUAUUCUGUGACUAAGGUGUUCUGUGCAUGUAUGUGAAGGGGCAUAUUAGAGGUGCAUGAGUAUGUAGAAGCUAGAUGUCAGCCUCAGGUGUCAUUCUUUAGGUACUGUGUGCUUUUUUUAAACAUGGAGUUUUGGGAAUGAAACUCAGGUUGAAUGAGCCAUUUUUCCUGCCCCUAGCCCAUUUUUUUGAGAUAUGGUGUCAUGUAGCCCAGGCUGUCCUUGAACUCAUUAAAUAGCCAAGGAUGGCCUUGAAAUUCUUUUCCAGAUUUAAGACCAGUGUUUGAUCAGAAUAUAGUAGUAUUGUAUUUAUUCAUAUAGUUGCUUUCUAGUUAUGACAUGUAAUGUUGGUAAGUACAUAAUUAUAUAUGUUAUACAUAAUUGAAAUAUAUAUGUAUAUUUCCUGUCCAUUAGAGACUACUUAAUAAGCAACACUGUAGCAAAAUGUUCUCCUUACAUCUGCCUCCUUAGUCGUUAAAAUUGAUGAGGUAGAAAUGAAUCUUGUUUUAGAAGUUAGCUGUGAGUGUAGCAGAGUAUAGAGCUGGCCUGCUCAGGUAAGGUGCCACUCUACAGUAUAACUAACCUCUGAGGCCAUCUGCUGUAGCGGUAGUUUCUACAGCGCCUUGGCUCCCAGCAGGUCGGGAGCAAUCUGGAUUCAGGAAUGAAGGACACACACAUACACACACCAGUUAAUUUUUGACAUGUUGUGAUUAGCUCAAAGACUGGGUACUCCUAAACUCUCCCCUGCUGGCAAAUUCUCCUCUGUUGCUCCUGAGACUCGUAAAUCUUCCCCUGCUACCCCAGGCCCAGUUGGGGAAAUGGCCACUUCCCUGAAUUCUUCCAUGACUGGUUGGCUUUCUCUCCUGCAGCUCUUAUGCCCCACCCUUCUCCCCUGAGUCAUGAUGAUUCCCCCAGUUCCUUCCACGCAAAUCUAAAGGUGCUGCCUCAGUCUGCCUGCACAACCAUUGAUCAUUGGCUCUUUUUGAUCCAUCAAAAACCAGCUGGGGACAAGGAUCUUCAGUGUUUGGAUACACAGAUACCCUAUUUUGGGGGCCAGAUUAAUUCAAAGCAUUGGAACCAAUUUCCAACAAUAUGCUCUCUAGAUUUGCUAAACCCAUUCAUAUUCAUGUCCACACAUUUAGGAAAGUAACAGCACACAGUUUUAUAUACAAUAUACUGGAGCCAUCCAGGUAGAAGAUACUUGUAUAGGUGUAACCAGGGAAAUUGGAACUAUGAUUUAGAUAGUCAAUUUUCAUUUAAAUUGUUGGAAAGCUCUUUAUUUGUUAAAUAAUGAUUAUUAUCACAUGUUAAUUAUGAAAGUUAAUGGGUUUCAUUGUGACAUUCCCAUCUAUGUAAAUGUUUCCUCUGACCAUUCUCCUGUUCUUUCCUUUUCUCACAGUCCAUAGUCCUUCUUCAUUUCCAGGUUAUCUUUCUGUUGUUCAGUUUUCGAACGGAAGAGGAAACAUGCAUCGCUUGUCCCUCUGUGUUUGUUUUACUUCAUUUAACAUGAUGCUGCCCGGUUCCUCCAUUUCCCGCAAACGUCCGUGACUUCAUUCACCUUGCUGUGUAGUUACCAUAUUUUCUCCACCUGCUCACAUGGUGAUGGGCAUAUAGGCUGAUUUCAUAUUUUGACUCUUAUGAAUAGUAACAUAAGAAUAUGAAUAUGUAUUUUGUCUGCUGACUUCAUUUCCUUCUGAUGAAUACCCAACAGUGUAUAGCUGGAUCAUACGCAGCUCUAUUCUUAUCUUUUGAGGAGCUUGCCUUCUGUUUUCCAUAGUGGUUCUAACUAAUUUACAUCUGCCUCCAGGACACAGUUCCUUUUUUUCCACUUCCUCACCAGCCUUUGCUAACUGUUCUUAUAAUACACAUUGGAUUCAGGGUGGCAUGGGAUCUCGAUACAGCUCAGAUUUGCGUUUCCCGCUGAGCCCCUCCCCCAUUUCUUUUCUGUUUUUAGAGGCGGUCCUAUUCUUAUACCUUAGUUUGACCUUGAAUGCUGCCUAGGAUAACCUUGAACUUCUGAUCCUUCUGCUUGUAUUUCCUGGUGCUGGAAUUAAAGUGUUUGUUUAUUUAUUGCAGCACUUGGAGUCAAACCCAGGGCUUUUUUUGUUUGUUUGUUUGUUUUGAGACAGGGUUUCUCUGUAUAGCCCUGGCUGUCCUGGAACUCACUUUGUAGACCAGGCUGGCCUCGAACUCAGAAAUCUGCCUGCCUCUGCCUCCUGAGUGCUGGGAUUAAAGGCGUGUGCCACCAUGCCUGGCAAACCCAGGGCUUCUUGAGUGUGAGGCAAAACACUCUACCAGUUGGGCCACAUCCCCAGCCCCAGCCUCAGACAUCUGCGUGCCUCUGCCUCCUCGGUGCUGAGAUUAAAACCGUUUGCUAGCCCGGACUUUCUUUUAAUAAAUGUCUCUUCAGAUCAUUAGCCCGAUAUGUCAGUACACUGUCUUCAGAUGCACCAGAAGAGGGCAUCAGAUCUCAUUAAGGGUGGUUGUGAGCCACCAUGUGGUUGCUGGAAUUUUGAACUUAGGACCUUCGGAAGAGCAAUAGGGUGCUCUUACCCACUGAGCCAUCUCACCAGCCCCAAAUAAAUAAAUCU
This 2937-nucleotide long non-coding RNA is filed under the name Mus musculus (house mouse). RNAcentral describes it as "long non-coding RNA chr9:108724119-108727056". Lineage: Eukaryota; Metazoa; Chordata; Mammalia; Rodentia; Muridae. The record is from RNAcentral.